RNAcentral lists this ribosomal RNA (253 nucleotides) under uncultured bacterium. RNAcentral's name for it is "partial 16S ribosomal RNA". It matches the Rfam family "Bacterial small subunit ribosomal RNA", at positions 524 to 776 of the family's 1533-position model. The record is from RNAcentral.
GACGUAGGGGGCGAGCGUUGUUCGGAAUUACUGGGCGUAAAGCGCACGUAGGCGGCUUUGCAAGUUAGAGGUGAAAGCCCGGGGCUCAACUCCGGAAUUGCCUUUAAAACUGCAUCGCUAGAAUUGUGGAGAGGUAAGUGGAAUUCCGAGUGUAGAGGUGAAAUUCGUAGAUAUUCGGAAGAACACCAGUGGCGAAGGCGACUUACUGGACACAUAUUGACGCUGAGGUGCGAAAGCGUGGGGAGCAAACAGG